Eptesicus fuscus (big brown bat) is the source of this 107-nucleotide small nuclear RNA. The record is from RefSeq and is a predicted model, not a curated record. NCBI's taxonomy places the organism in Eukaryota, Metazoa, Chordata, Mammalia, Chiroptera, Vespertilionidae.
GUGCUUGCUUCGGCAGCACAUAUACUAAAAUUGGAAGGAUACAGAGAAGAUUAGCAUGGCCCCUGCACAAGGAUGACACGAAUAUUUGUGAAGCAUUCUAUACUAUA